RNAcentral lists this ribosomal RNA (433 nucleotides) under uncultured bacterium. RNAcentral's name for it is "partial 16S ribosomal RNA". It matches the Rfam family "Bacterial small subunit ribosomal RNA", at positions 29 to 507 of the family's 1533-position model. The record is from RNAcentral.
AGCGAACGCUGGCGGCAGGCUUAACACAUGCAAGUCGAGCGGGCACUUCGGUGUCAGCGGCAGACGGGUGAGUAACACGUGGGAACGUACCCUUUGGUUCGGAAUAACGCUGGGAAACUAGCGCUAAUACCGGAUACGCCCUUUUGGGGAAAGGCUUGCUGCCGAAGGAUCGGCCCGCGUCUGAUUAGCUAGUUGGUGGGGUAAUGGCCUACCAAGGCGACGAUCAGUAGCUGGUCUGAGAGGAUGAUCAGCCACACUGGGACUGAGACACGGCCCAGACUCCUACGGGAGGCAGCAGUGGGGAAUAUUGGACAAUGGGCGCAAGCCUGAUCCAGCCAUGCCGCGUGAGUGAUGAAGGCCUUAGGGUUGUAAAGCUCUUUUGUCCGGGACGAUAAUGGCGGUACCGGAAGAAUAAGCCCCGGCUAACUUCGUG